AACAUGGCAACUUGUUGAUUAAUACUACCAUAAUCCACAAUUCUCCCCUCUCUUAUAAAUUCUUCUACUGCUCCAUUACCAUUCACUGUACUUUUCUUGUCUUGCAUCAUCCACUGAAUCAGUGCGAGGUGGCAAAUCAUAGGCAUUUCAUUGUGCAUUGAUACCCACUUACCAUCUUCUCUUGGUUUCUUGCUUUCCUUCUUCUUCCCCUCCAAACCUUCAUAGCCAUUAUUGUUUGGAAGAACCCACCAAAGCUUACUGCUUCAAUGGCGCUCUGUGCAUUCUCAUUUCCUGCUCAUGCCAAAAGACUGGUAGAUCCUCUUCCAAAGUUCUAUUCUUU
This 340-nucleotide long non-coding RNA is filed under the name Linum usitatissimum (flax). Its description in RNAcentral is "long non-coding RNA (LUSI_LNC002022)". The record is from RNAcentral. Lineage: Eukaryota; Viridiplantae; Streptophyta; Magnoliopsida; Malpighiales; Linaceae.